GGCUAUGCCUCAAUUGAUAAAGUGAACUAAUUGCCUACUUCAAAAGCAGUUUUGCAUGAAAGUCAACAUCUAAUUGGAAUUUACAAUGCCCGAUAUUUCUACACAUCUGCCACAAAUUUUAUGGAAAACAAUAUUUAUAGAAACUGAACAUACCUUGGUUAAACGUAUAUGAAAUGGGUAACCAUCCUCGAAGAACAUCAACCAGCUGUCGGCAAUGUGCAGGUGGACUGAGGAAUUUUCCGGUGUGUCCUUUAUGGACUGUACUCCGUCUUAGCACUAUCCUCAAUGUCGCUGAUCUGCACUACCAGCUCGUUCAACGUUACUGACCACAAAGUAAUCCGACAAUCAGAUCGGACCUGGUCAUGUUAGAAUCCAGAGGUAGGAAAUGAACAUACAAUCGACUCCGCAUCGAUGCAUGACCUCGCCCGGAACGCGUCAAGAAUUAACAAUGGAAGAAAAUACUACAGACGUGUUUAUUAACAAUAAAGUUAUUUUUGUUUUUAUGAAAUAGCGAUUGAAUAAAAAUAUUAGGUAUAUGAGUUUUAUUUAGAGAUGAAA
This 558-nucleotide long non-coding RNA is filed under the name Leguminivora glycinivorella. RNAcentral describes it as "uncharacterized LOC125225106, transcript variant X2". Lineage: Eukaryota; Metazoa; Arthropoda; Insecta; Lepidoptera; Tortricidae. The record is from RNAcentral.